This 450-nucleotide ribosomal RNA is filed under the name uncultured Glomus. Its description in RNAcentral is "SSU rRNA". It matches the Rfam family "Eukaryotic small subunit ribosomal RNA", at positions 569 to 1024 of the family's 1831-position model. Lineage: Eukaryota; Fungi; Glomeromycota; Glomeromycetes; Glomerales; Glomeraceae. The record is from RNAcentral.
AGCAGCCGCGGUAAUUCCAGCUCCAAUAGCGUAUAUUAAAGUUGCUGCAGUUAAAAAGCUCGUAGUUGAAUUUCGGGACCAUCAUGUCGGUCGUGCCUCGGUACGUACUGGCAUUGUUGGUUUCUACCUUCUGACGAACCAUGAUGUCAUUUAUUUGGUGUCGUGGGAAAUCAGGACUGUUACUUUGAAAAAUUAGAGUGUUUAAAGCAGGCUCACGCUUGAAUACAUUAGCAUGGAAUAAUGAAAUAGGACGUUUGAUUCUAUUUUGUUGGUUUCUAGGAUCGACGUAAUGAUUAAUAGGGAUAGUUGGGGGCAUUAGUAUUCAAUUGUCAGAGGUGAAAAUUCUUGGAUUUAUUGAAGACUAACUACUGCGAAAGCAUUUGCCAAGGAUGUUUUCAUUAAUCAAGAACGAAAGUUAGGGGAUCGAAGACGAUCAGAUACCGUCGUAGU